ACAGCAGUAGCCGCGGUAAUACAUAGGUGGCAAGCGUUGUCCGGAAUUAUUGGGCGUAAAGGGCUCGCAGGCGGUUUCUUAAGUCUGAUGUGAAAGCCCCCGGCUCAACCGGGGAGGGUCAUUGGAAACUGGGAAACUUGAGUGCAGAAGAGGAGAGUGGAAUUCCACGUGUAGCGGUGAAAUGCGUAGAGAUGUGGAGGAACACCAGUGGUGAAGGCGACUCUCUGGUCUGUAACUGACGCUGAGGAGCGAAAGCGUGGGGAGCGAACAGGAUUAGAUACCCGAGUAGUCCCUGUCUCUUAUAC
RNAcentral lists this ribosomal RNA (305 nucleotides) under uncultured bacterium. RNAcentral's name for it is "partial 16S ribosomal RNA". It matches the Rfam family "Bacterial small subunit ribosomal RNA", at positions 508 to 807 of the family's 1533-position model. The record is from RNAcentral.